This 244-nucleotide ribosomal RNA is filed under the name uncultured bacterium. RNAcentral's name for it is "partial 16S ribosomal RNA". It matches the Rfam family "Bacterial small subunit ribosomal RNA", at positions 15 to 248 of the family's 1533-position model. The record is from RNAcentral.
GAUCCUGGCUCAGGAUGAACGCUAGCUACAGGCUUAACACAUGCAAGUCGAGGGGAAACGACAUCGAAAGCUUGCUUUUGAUGGGCGUCGACCGGCGCACGGGUGAGUAACGCGUAUCCAACCUGCCCACCACUUGGGGAUAACCUUGCGAAAGUAAGACUAAUACCCAAUGAUAUCUCUAGAAGACAUCUGAAAGGGAUUAAAGAUUUAUCGGUGGUGGAUGGGGAUGCGUCUGAUUAGCUUG